AAAAAGAUAAGCUAAGCAAGCUUGUGGGUUCAUACCCCAUCUAUGAGGAUUUGACUCCCUCUCUUUUUA
Molecule: transfer RNA, 69 nt
Filed under: Sergia lucens
Lineage: Eukaryota; Metazoa; Arthropoda; Malacostraca; Decapoda; Sergestidae
Also listed under: 1 other name
Description: tRNA-Met
Rfam family: tRNA
About the family: Transfer RNA (tRNA) molecules are approximately 80 nucleotides in length. Their secondary structure includes four short double-helical elements and three loops (D, anti-codon, and T loops).
Source: RNAcentral